UUGAGUAUUGCUGCAUUUCGGUUUGCUGUCAGUGCAGAAGCGUGGACAUGUUUCAGUAAAAUAACUUGGUGUUGUGUUAUAUUUAAACGAUUAUUGUUGUUGUUCGUGUUACUGUUGUUACUUGCAGCUAAUUUCUGCAAUCAGUUCGGUUCGCCUGAGCGAUAAAGCUAGUUGUUUCUACAGGUAGGCCGAAAUCACGUGACCACUGGACAUGACGUAGCUAGUGCGUGGAGUGAUAGCUCGUGUUUAUUGUUUUCGGAACGUUAUUUGUGUCUAAUCAUUUUACUGUUUCCGAGAGAAUAAGGUUUAGAUUUUUUGAUUCCCAGUAUUGUUUUAGAUACUGAAUUCGCUGGACAUUUAUUGAGAACACAAACAUUCCUGCAUUGUAUCAGAUAACGUCGCAUCUUGUCCCUUGACGGUGGUAGCGUCGGUUAUGUACCCUCACGCUGUCACGACCUGUGGUUCUCAGGACCCUCGUAUACAACAAAACACAGAGAAAUUCAGACUCCAUUCUUCGAGUGGGAUUUGAACCUACGAUCCGGCCAAAAACCAACGCCUUCGCCUACGCAGCUAAGGAAACAAUCUAGUGGACGUCCAUAGCAGCGCCAAACAUCCAGAACGGCCUAAAAGCUUCUACAUUCGACUUUGAAAGAUGCAGUCGGCGUCUUCAGAGUCUCGGUAUUGCCUGAGGAUACCACGAGGAAUCAUUUGUUUCAAUUUUGAACUGAUUCAUCCAGACCCACUGUUCGCUGCUCUCGUGUCAACUGUUCACAAAGAAUCGUAACGAAUUUCCACCACCUGUUGAUUUGAAAAGAAACAGGAUACAGGCGUGCGGUCUCCAUGGAGACUACCGUUCACGAACGCGUGGUCUGGUCAUUAUUAAGGUACGCAGGUUGUAAUUAUUUUUCACUUGUGGGCCAAAAGGCGUGUGUCAUGGUGACAAUAGAUGUGAUGGA
Non-coding RNA from Zootermopsis nevadensis, 956 nucleotides. Lineage: Eukaryota; Metazoa; Arthropoda; Insecta; Blattodea; Termopsidae. The record is from RefSeq and is a predicted model, not a curated record.